This 104-nucleotide small nuclear RNA is filed under the name Ailuropoda melanoleuca (giant panda). Lineage: Eukaryota; Metazoa; Chordata; Mammalia; Carnivora; Ursidae. The record is from RNAcentral.
GUGCUCAGUUUGGCAGUACAUAUUCUAAAAUUGGAAUGAUACAGAGAUUAGCAUGGCCCCUGUGCAAGGAUGACCUGCAAAUUUGUGAAACAUUUAAUAUAUUU